CCUACGGGAGGCUGCAGUGGGGAAUAUUGGGCAAUGGGCGCAAGCCUGACCCAGCGACGCCGCGUGAGGGAAGACGGUCUUCGGAUUGUAACCCUCUUUCAGCAGGGAAGACAACAGGACGGUACCUGCAGAAGAAGCCACGGCUAACUACGUGCCAGCGGCCGCGGUAAUACGUAGGUGGCGAGCGUUACCCGGCAUUCCUGGGUGUAAAGGGUGGGGAGGCGGGUUUGCAAGUCAGAGGUGAAAAGUAUGGGCUCAACCCAUACCCUGCGUCUGACACUACAGCUCUUGAGAGUUGGAGAGGUAAACGGAAUUCCCGGUGUAGCGGGGAAAUGCGUAGAUAGCGGGAGGAACACCAGUGGCGAAGGCGGUUUACUGGACGACAACUGACGCUGAGACACGAAAGCGUGGGGAGCAAACAGGAUUAGAUACCCGUGUAGUC
This 442-nucleotide ribosomal RNA is filed under the name uncultured bacterium. RNAcentral's name for it is "partial 16S ribosomal RNA". It matches the Rfam family "Bacterial small subunit ribosomal RNA", at positions 338 to 795 of the family's 1533-position model. The record is from RNAcentral.